Molecule: non-coding RNA, 237 nt
Organism: Vicia faba (fava bean)
Lineage: Eukaryota; Viridiplantae; Streptophyta; Magnoliopsida; Fabales; Fabaceae
Source: the annotation of a GenBank genome assembly
AUGAUCACGAAGAAGGCUAUUCUCAAAGAUCCAGCAUCGGAGGGAAUCUUUGGUUACUUCUACUUCUAUUGUAACUUGAUUGAACCAAUCGAUGUACGAUCACAAGAUCUCCUCCGCUCCUUAUAUGAUGCUUCUAAGGGAAACUAUAGUAACUGCUUGUCUUUUCCGAGUGGUGAAAUACACAUGGAGGGAGGAUUAGAACUGGCUGCUGAAGAGUUAGUAUUAACUAGUGGCUGA